Molecule: long non-coding RNA, 32850 nt
Filed under: Hordeum vulgare
Lineage: Eukaryota; Viridiplantae; Streptophyta; Magnoliopsida; Poales; Poaceae
Description: long non-coding RNA (HVUL_LNC013958)
Rfam family: MIR1120/MIR1122 microRNA precursor family (bases 32440-32563)
Source: RNAcentral
CCUGCCUCUGUUGUUACUUACUCCUCUUUUGUGCCCUGCCUCUGCCUUUGCUCUUGUGUUUUGUUCUUAAAAUUUCUUGGGUCAGCUUGUCCUCCACAAAUUAAGAUAGUCAUCUCAUAACCCGGCGUGUUUUUUUUUCACAUCAAGUUUGGGCGCACCAGGUAGACAGGCAUGCGUCCACAGUCCAGUGCCUCGAAAUGGGCGGCACCAGGAAACCACCGGCAAGUCUAUUACUGAACGGUCAUUGAUUUAUGUUGAAUGUGUCCUGCAAAAGAGCGAUGGUAAAGGUCAAGCCCCAUCUCCCACCCGCGUGGGCGGACCAUGCAGCUCGUCUUGUCGUCUUUUACUCCUAGGUGGCACCUGCAUCACGCUCAAGCAUUGGGAGGAAAUGUGGAAAGAUGAACACAAGAUCGAUGUCUAGGUCAUUAACCAGCAAUGCAACAUAUAUUACAGUAGUAGACACUUGCGGGUAAUUUCUACGGACUGUGCUUACGGACGCUAUCAAGGUCUCACCUCUCACGUGGUUAGUGGAGAUUGAAACGGCUGGUCCUCGUAUUCCUCCACCGAGCGGCGACUUGACGCCACGUCUGUCUGUAGGCUCCUUGCGUAGCAAAGCAUCCGUAAGAAGAGCAUUAUUGUAAUAGGACUGACUAAGACAUCAGUCACUCAAGAUAAGGGACACUAAUCACAAGAGAAAAGCUCAUUGCUAGUCACCUGGGAGCUCGUAUAUGGCUUGAGCCUUGUUGAUAAAAAAUAAAUAAAUUCAGUGCACGAGUGGAGUACAAAUGCACAGUGGCCGGCCUACAUGACCCUUACUUUCCUCCUUGCCUUGACGAGUACUGGAGAGCCCAUGCGACUUCCUUAUUCUUGUCUUCGGUUCAAACUUCACAGUCACUUCGUCCUCUUCGACCCUAGCCGCCACUCCCCGAUAAAUUCAUUAUUUUGACCCUUCUUGUAAAGUUAAGAUGUAUCUGAUCCUAACAUGAAAAAAUAUAUUUGGAUCUAAUUCUUUUUCUACCGUCACCCUGUGUUGCGCGCGGUAGGCUAACACAGGCUACCGCCACUGUCUUUGGUGGUAGGGAGGCGACGAAUGCAGAUGGCGCCAUUUGCUCGGAUGACGUGGAUAAUAGCCUACCGCGACAGGUAGUGGCGAUAGGGUGUCAUAGCCUUCCGCCACAUUUGGUGGCGGUAGGGUACUCAGUGUGGAUAAGUGAAUUGCUGGUUGGUUGGUGUGUCCCACCAGCCACCCAUUCAUCCCUAAACCCCCUCUUCCCCGAGCUGGGCUCCUCUCCCUUCUCUUUCCCUCAUUUUUGCCUUCACCAAAUCCAUCUUCAUUGCUUGAGUUUUCUCCGGUGGAUCGAGCUCAAUUUCAUCACUCAAGGUACCUCACUCACUCUCUUCUUUUUGGUUGGUUGGAAUUAUCUAAUUUGGUGGCAUUCUAUACUUGUAUGCAAACCCUAGUUUAGGUCAUUUUGAUGUGAAAUCAAUGCAUUUGAGGGAUGACAGGGUUGUUUCCAUGCUUGAUUGCGGGCUCCUCCUUCAUCUCCGUCGUAAGGUUGUCCCACAGAGUGUUACCUCCAUCAGGUAUGGCGGAUCUGCUGCAAGGGAGGAGGAUGGGAGGAGAAUGUGGAGCAGCUUGUGUUGCGGGGUGAAGUUAACCGGGUGUGGUCACCUUUAAUUAGCUUAUUCCGAUGAGGUCGGGCAUCCGAGUGCGUUAAUGCACGACACUGGAGUGGGUUUCUCGACCGACGAGCCUGUUUAAUGCUGGCAUAUGGAUGAACCGCAAAUUGAACGGGUGUGGUAGAUAAUAGUCCUAUCUUGUCCCGUAAAGCGUCUCCGACAGUGAACAAGCGCGAACACCGGGGAGGCAUCCUCGAUGGUGUCUUCGGCCAACGAGCCACCUCAAUGGCGAAGCAAGUAUGUGUAGUAUGCCUAAUCAUCAUGUUUGUAACAUCGAUCUACAGUUAUUCUUAGGCAUUUUUGUAGGUUUAGGGCUAGGGUUAGGCAAUGUGAUUAGUAAGUAGUUAGGGUUAAGCAAUAAUAUUUUGUUAUUUGUAUUUUUGUUUGAAUUUAAUGCACAGAUCUUUUUGAUCCAUAUUAUGUUGCUAUCCUAUCAUUCAUCUUUUUUUUACAAUGUACUUAGAUGGAUAGACUCGUUAAUGUACAUUAUUUGGAUAAGAAGGCAUUUAUGAAAGGCAAUAUAGAUGAAUGGGAAGAGUCCAUGGUUUUUGACUCAAGCCCAACUUAUGAGGAGGUGGUUAUGACAGUUAGAAAUGUGUUAAAUUGGAUUGACCCAAAUGAUAAAGUUAAGCUUAAUCGAAGGUAUGAUGUUGGAGUGGGGGUGAAGUCUCGAUUGAAGAGUAUGCCUAUCGCCUCAGAAUUGCAUUGGAAGGCUUACAAGGAUAAAGUAGUUGAAUCACAAGACAAAUCACUUGAAUUAUUAUAUGCCACCAAGAUUGAGCUUCCUGUCCUACAAAUUGACUUGAACCGACAUGCCACCUCCUUAAUACAUGAUGGAAGGGUGGAGGUGUAUGUCCCCAAUUCUUCUAGUCAACCACCAAAUGAAGCGGAGAUGAAUGAUAGAGCCAUGGUAAUUCAAGAGGAAGAGGUUCAUGUUGAUGCUGACGCUGCUUAUGUUGAUGAUGAUGAUGCUCAUGUUCAGAUGAUGCUAUUACCCAUGUUGAUGCUUAUGCAAAAGUUCAAGAGAUUCAUUAUAAUCCCAUUGGAAACUUGGAUGUUAUUCGGUACCAGCAAGAUAUGGAUCGUAGCCUCCCCUAUAGUCGUAUGUAUGGGUAUGACUCGGAUGACGAGGGUCCGACAAAGGAAUUGGACGAGGAUGAUUCACCGCACAAGAAAAUGAAAUUUUCAAGAAGGUGACGGGGAAGGAAAGAGGCGCCCCAUUGUUUCAUGAUCUUAUUCUUGUCGACAAGGCCGUUGUUGAUGGUGGCAUGAGAUUGGGGUUGUUUGAACCAACACCAUGCACGAAGGUCAGUGACCCUAAACCCAAGGAUGAGGACGAGAAUGUUAAUUUGAAGAAAGGCAUCAAGUUCGGUUAGAGUGACUAUGCCAUUAGGAACCAUAGGCCUUUUGUUAUCGAUUAUUUCGACCAAAAUCUGUGGUGCGCCAUCAAUUGUGACAAAGUAGGUUGCCCUUGGAAGGUUAGUGGAAGAAAAAUUGAAGAAACGGGGCAAUGGACGUUGAAGAGUUGUGUGGACACUUACUUGUGCAUACCACCAGACAAAGCUGACCGCAACAAUGAACACCGUCAAGUCACGUUUGAGUUCUUAGGAUACAAAUUGUUGAAUGGGAUAUACCACGAUCCAACCUCAUGAGUUCGGUUGAAGAACGGUUCAAAUAAAAGGUCAACUAUGGGAAGGUAUACAAGGCCAAGGCAAAUGCUAUCAGGAUGGUGCAUGGUGAUUAUGAGGCCGCGUACAAUAUUCUACCGUGGAUGCUGGUUGCCAUUGCACAUAGGAACCCUGGCAUGUGUCAUGCGAUGGAGGAAAUUGACGGAGUGUUUCAUCGUGCAUUGAUGAUACGUCUCCAACGUAUCUAUAAUUUUUAAUUGUUCCAUGCUAUUAUAUUAUCUGUUUUGGAUGUUUUAUAUGCAUUAAUAUGCUGUUUUAUAUUAUUUUUGGGACUAACCUAUUAAUCUAGAGCCUAGUGCCAGUUUCUAUUUUUUUUCCAUGUUUUAAAGUAUUGCAGAUAAGGAAUAUUAAACGGAGUCCAAACGGAAUAAAAUUUCCGAAAUGAUUUUUCUUGGACCAGAAGAAAUGCAGGAGACUUGGAGUAGGGGACAGGGCAUUUGACGGGAGCCCACAAGCCUGCAGGGCGCGUCCUAUUGGGGUGGUCGUGCCCCUGGCUUGUGGGUCCCGUGCAGGUCUCAUAACCUUAUUCUUUGGCCUAUAAAUUCCCAAAUAUUCCCAUAUCGCAGAAGAGAGCCACGAAAAUACUUCUACGUAGUCGGGAGCCUCUGUUCCCGUGAGAUCCAAUCUGGGAGCCUUUUCCGGGAAUCUGCCGGAGUGGGAAUUGAUCAUGGAUGGCAUCUACAUCAACUCCAUUUCCCCUCCGAUGAUGCAUGAGUAGUUCACCACAGACCUACGGGUCCAUAGCUAGUAGCCAGAUGGCUUCUUCUCUCUCUUUGAUCUUCAAUAGCAUGUUCUUCAUGAUCUUCAUGGAGAUCUAUCCGAUGUAAUACUCUUUUGCGGUGUGUUUGUCGAGAUCGGAUGAAUUGUGAGUUUAUGUUCAGAUUAUCCAUGAAUAUUAUUUGCAUCUCUUCUGAAUUCUUAUAUGCAUGAUUUCAUAUCUUUGCAAGUCUCUUCGAAUUAUUGGUUUGGUUUGGCCAACUAGAUUGGUAAUUCUUGCAAUGGGAGAGGUGCUAAGUUUUGGGUUCAAUCUUGCGAUGUCCUCACCCAGUGACAUAGUAGGGGUAGCGAGCCACGAAUUGUACUGUUUCCAUCGAGGAUAAAAAGAUGGGGUUUUCAUCAUAUUGCUUGAGUUUAUCCCUCGACAUCAUGUCAUCUUACUUAAUGCGUUACUUUGUUCUUCAUGAACUUAAUACUCUAGAUGCAAGCAGGGGUCGGUCAAUGUGUGGAGUAAUAGUAGUAGAUGCAGAAUCGUUUCGGUCUACUUGACACGAACGUGAUGCUUAUAUGCUUAAUCAUUGCCUUGGAUAUCUUCAUAAUUAUUUGCUUUUCUAUCAAUUGCUUGACAGUAAUUUGUUCACCCACUGUAUUAUUUUUCUUUAUGAGAGAAGCCUCUAGUGAAACCUAUGGCCCCCAGGUCUUUUUCCAUACUAUAUUUUCAGAUCUAUAAACCAACAAUACCAAAAAUAUCAUGCUGCAAUUUAUUUACUUUUGUUUCCGCAAUCUUUUAUAUCCAUCUCUAUCAGAUCUCAUCCUUGCAAAUAACUCUGAAGGGAUUGACAACCCCUUUAUAGCGUUGGGUGCAAGUGUUUGAUUGUUUGUGUAGGUACUAUGAUUGGGGCCUUACUUGUUCCUCCUACUGGAUUGAUACCUUGGUUCUCAAAAAACCGAGGGAAAUACUUAUCUACUUCUCUGCAUCACCCUUUCCUCUUCAAGGGAAAACCAACGCAAGCUCAAGAGGUAGCAAGAAGGAUUUCUGGCGCCAUUGCUGGGGAGGAUACAUAGCAAGAUCAAGCCUACCAAGUACCCAUCACAAACUCAUCUCUUGCAUUUACUUUAUUUGCCAUUUGCCUCUCGUUUUCCUCUCCCCCACUUCUAAAACGAUUUUCAGAAAAUACCAAAAAGAUUUGCCUUUUUAUUCGCCCUUUUUCCGUUUGUCUUUUUGUUUGCUUGCUUGUGUGCUAGAUUGCUUGCCCUGUCACGAUGGAUCAAGAUAAUACCAGGUUAUGUGACUUUUCCACUACUACUACUAAUGAUUUUAUUAGUACUCCAAUUGCUCCCGCCACUAGUGUGGAAUAUUGUGAAAUUAAUGCCGCUUUGCUCAAUCUUGUUAUGAAAGAACACUUUUUUAGCAUUCCUAGUGAAGAUGCCGCAUCCCAUCUAAAUACUUUCGUUGAGUUGUGUGAUAUGCAAAACAAGAAAUAUGUGGAUAAUGAAAAUUUUAAAUUGAAGCUAUUUCCUUUCUCACUACGAGAUCGUGCCAAAACUUGGUUUUCAUCUUUACCUAAAAAUAGUAUUGAUUCAUGGAAUAAGUGUAAACAUGUUUUUAUUUCCAAGUACUUUCCGCCCGCUAAGAUUAUCUCCCUUAGGAACGAUAUAAUGAAUUUUAAGCAACUUGAUCAUGAGCAUGUUGCGCAAUCUUGGAAGAGGAUGAAACUAAUGAUUAGGAAUUGCCCCGCGCAUGGUUUGAGUUUACACUACAACAAAAACAUCAUGUAUGGUCGCUUUUUCGGGGUCGCUUUUUUGUUCGCCUCUACGCCCAUGAACACUACCGACCUAAAGACGUUUUUAAGACGUUUACAAAGCACCACAAGCUUUUUCUUAUAAACAACCUUCAAGAAAAUAAUUUUUUUAUUUUAAUUAACUUAAAGACGAUUUGUGAGACGUUUUAAUGUGCGACUCUAUUCUUAGAGACGAUUUAUGAGACGUUGUAAUGUGCGGCUCUAUUCUUAGAUAUGAAUGUGAGAGGAAUUAUGAGACGUAUGUGAGACUCUAGAGAACAUUCAUGAGAUGUUUAGAUGUGCGAUUUUUCUUAUCUUAGACUUAAGAAAACAUUAAAUAAUUAUAUUUUCUAAAACUCAGAUAGCUAUUAAAAUUAGCUGCACUAAACUUUGAAUAAAUGUGAUUUCUUAUUUGAUUCUCACCUUAACGAUCUCCUCUCCAUAUAUGCUUCUAUCAAAACUUGGAUGUUUUUUCAUGACUUUCUUUGCACUUUGAUGAUUUGCCCCUAUUUUCAUUGACACUAUGUUUUUCCCACACUUUUGCCGAAACUUUGAUGAUUUGUUCCUUUUAACCCGUUUCCAUAAUUUUCAUAUAAUGCAACUAAACUGAUUAUUAAAAUUGUUGGGGAACGUAGCAUGGGAAACCAAAAAAUUUCAUGUAAUGCACGCAAUACCUAUCCAUGGUGAUGAUCAUCUACGAGAUGAGAGAUUGAAUCUACAUACCCUUGUGGAUCAUUAAGCGGAAGCGUAUAUAACGCGGUUGAUGUAGUGGAACAUAUUCGCGAUCCAAAUCGUAGCCCGUCCUGCGAUCUUAUCACGAUCUGUAGCAAUAAACUGACACGAUCAUAUGCUACGUUUAUAGUUUGGUCUUGUCCAUCACAUCAUUCUCCUAAUGAUGUGAUCCCAUUAUCAAGUGACAACACUUGUCUAUGGCUAGAAAACCUUAACCAUCUUUGAUCAACGAGCAAGUCAACUAGAGGCUCACUAGGGACAGUGUUUUGUCUAUGCAUCCACACAUGUAUUUGAGUUUCCAAUUAAUAUAAUUAUAGCAUUGGAUAAUAAACGAUUAUCAUGAAUAUCGUGUCACAUCUCGAGGAUUUCCAACGGUAUUUUAAGUGGGGCAGGGGACGGGACUCCAGGCGAGCGCGGCCGGCAACGACGAGGUGGAGGCGGGAGGGAACCCUAGCGGUAGCUAGCGGGAGCGCCGAAUACGAUCAUACGUGUGUUUGCAUAGGUUAAAGAAAAGAACCUAAAAGAAAUUAUAAAAGAUAAAAUAUUAAAAAAACAUUGAAAAAUAUAAAAGAAAAUAUAAAAAAUACAAUACAAUAAAAUAAUAGGGAAAUACAAAAAAAAUACGCGCGGCGCGGGUGCUCUGUUUUGGCCCCCAAAUCGAGCGCGCGCCGCCCCGCCUCCAAUUCGAGCACACCGCGCGCUGCCUCGCCCCCACCUCGUGCCCCCCUCUAUUCCGAGGAGGCCGCCGCGCCGCCCCCUUCCUCUUCCUCGUAGUCAAUCUCAACCCAACGGCCGCCACGCCGCCUCCCUCGUCAUUACUUUCGGCGAUGACAACGGUGCCUCCCGCGCCCGCGUUCUUCCUCCCCAACAACCAGCUGCUCGCCCCCUCUUCGGUCGCUGUGUAGGAGCCAUCGUGCUUGGGCUGCGACGACCAGCAGAGGACCGCCGCCGGCUCGGCUAGAUCUCCUUCCCUCUCCACUACGAAGCACCAGCAAAGGAGGAGUCCUCCUCUUUCCACCCUUGCCGCCGCCCGAAACCCUAGCCACACAGCACCACCCAUGGCGUUGUAGGUCAGAUCCGCAGGAUCCCCUCAAGAGCCUCGGUAUGUAUCCCUCCUUACCUUUUCUUAUUCUUCCUAUGAUGCGUGGGCGUGUGCAGGUCAGAGGAGAAUGAGCCAGAGCAGGUGGAGGAGCAGGCAAACAUCCGGUAACGUCUCUGCUAGCCGGAUUCAGGUUUGUUUCCCUCUCUGUUGAUGUUGUUAACCAUGGCCUGGUCUAUUUAAGGUUCCGGUCAUGGGGUUUCUUAUUUCUCUCAUUUUUCCUUUUAAUAACGGGUCCAACUCUGCUGAAAACAACACGCACUCUAGGUCCUCUUCACUAUAGCUACUUCAUAGCUUGUGCAGUCACUCUGCUCUUGUUGUUUUUAUUAUGGCGUGUCAUUUAUUCAUGCCCAACCCCAAGUCUAGCAACAUCACUAGCAUCGUCCCUUUAUUUUUUCCGUGGUGGAAUAUUUGGUUGCUUGGAUUACUUGAUAUAAUAGAUCCUCAUUCUGUUUUUGUGCGAUUGAUGCUUUUAUAUGUUGUUUUGCUCAUGAUUUCCUACCCUCUGCUGUGUGCUUCAGUGGAUGGUCAGGGCCUAAGUCAAGGCGGCGGUCGACUGCAGCAUGGAGGAGUCAUUGAGCAACUUCGAGCCCAAGGCGGCGGCAUGCGACGACGACCUCAGCCUGCAACAUAAGCUCCGUGACAUGGCAAUAAUCUGUGAAGUAAAUUACUUGGCAUGGUAUUUUGUUUAGGAGCAGAUUUCUCAUUCUUCACUAGAUAAAAAAAUCAACUUGCUGCUUAAUAUCCUAAUUCCAUUGUCAAUAAUCUGCUGCUUAAUUACAGUUGCGUGAUUAUAACUUGUCAUUUUGGGGGAUUUGUUUGCUUCUCAUGAAAUAGAAUGAAUUGUAACUCCACAUUACUGUUCAUUGCUUAGUUCAUUUAUUGAUGAAAGGUUAAAUCUUUACAACUUGCAUGCGUUGAGGCUAUACUGUUAUUAUUGGGAGUGAUAUUUUCACAUGUCAAUAGUGUCACUCAACUAUUUGUGUUGUUCAGGUCGUGUAGGUUCGGCUCAGUCUCGUUGUCUUGGUCCAGCUCACCACCAUCACCGACCGCUACAGACAUUAGAGGUGAGAUCUCUCACCUUCUCUUCUUCCCCUUGCUUUGUGCACGUGGGUUCGAACCACGACUAUUUUGGUUAUGUUGUAUGGGGGCUAUAAUAUAUGCGUAGGUAUUUAUGUGUGGGAUUUAAGUAUGCUUCUGAGAAAAAAUUCUAUCCAAUUUAAACACCGCAUGUCUACCAUGCUUGUGGCAUGGGGGUUACUCGAGGGAGUAAGACUGUCCAGGGCAGGUUUUCAAGUUAUUGGUUGCUAGUUUGCUUAGUACCAACUCUAUUCCAUGGGGAUAUUGUACAUAAAUGUGCAAAUUUGGAUUUUAAGCAUGUUUUUUUUGUAUAUCUGAUAAGUGCACACCUCUGUAACUGCUCCUCUUUGUCUGAUAUUCUAAGGCCAUUAGGCUCCUGUUUGCUUAGUCCUGAUGAAGAGCUUAGUAGCUGUUAUACACGGCUCAUUUUGUAGUGGCCUUUUAGACUGGAUACCUGAAGAGAUCAAUAUUUACUGUAUGCGUAUUGCCAAGGCUCUUAUAGUUUCAGGAACACAUGCUUCAUGCGUCUUUUUUCUGUUAACCCCUAGGAUAAAACACAUAUGUAUGUGUUGCUUUACUCCCAUAGCUUCAGUGCAUCAUUAAACUGCAUGUAUCUAUGUUCUUCCAGUGGUCCUGAGGAUAAAUAUCAUCUUUAUUUCGCAGAUUGGUAAGCUGCAGACUACUAUAUCCAUUGGUGGGAGCAAGUUGGUUCAAACACGGGAGAGUUCAUCCGACAAAAGAGCUUCUCACCGGUUGUAAAAGCAUUAAAUGGCAGGUAUGCAUUGCGGGCAUGAAAGUUCUCUUUGUUUCAAACACACACUCUCUCACACGCACACACAUACAAUGCUUGUUAUUAGGUAUGUCUGAUAUGUAACAUUUUUUGCUAUCUUAUUUUGAGGCUAGAUUGUGUGCGGUAACAAUUUUUAUAAAUAUCUGAAGGUAAAGACAGCUCAUGGAGAUGCCUCUAACCAGACCUCUCCAUAUAUCCUUUUUCUAUAAACUAAGUACAAACUAUUAGUUUAUGUACUCCCAAUUAAUCUGGUUUAGUUUCAGCACAAUUGUUCUCAACCCUUCUCCUCAAAUGCAAGACAUUGAUGUGCACUUACAAAAUUGGGACAAUUUUCGCAUGUAUGGUAAUCAAUUCGAAGUAGAUUCCUGCAGGUGCAUUUUUUUAAUUAUUAACAGGAGAUAUGCCGACGGCUAUGCCGUUGGCGUAGCCAUGCGCCAGGAAGUACCAGAGGCCGACACAUGGUAGAGAUACGCCGACGGCAAUGCCGUCGCGUAGCCAUGAGCCAGGAAACACCAGAAACCGCCACGUGGCCGAUCUAUGCCGACAGCCUCCCCGUCGGGUCAGCUCUGGAUAUAUGCCGGAGGCAUAACCGUCGGCAUAGGGGUGCCACAUGGCUGGCUCCGGUUAGGCGUCGCCCGUCGAUGGUGCUAUCAUCUACCGUCAUGUGGCAAAGGUUGCCGACGGUCUAUCUAUGCCGACGGUUGUGCGACAGUCGUCGGCGUAGGUACCUAUGCCGAUGAAAGCGGCCACAUACACCGACGUUCGCAAUCCCUACGACCCUAUGCCGACAGUGGCCAUCGGCAUACCCCUACACCGACGCGAUAUAGACCUACGCCGACGGCCUUCGUCGGCAACGCUGGUUAUUUCGGUAGUGAUUGUAGAAAGCACACAUCUAAAAAAAAUGAUAAGGUCAAUCAAGGCUGUGAACAAUCAAAUUUACUGGACAAGCAAUUCACUAACCAGGAAUUGCAUCCUAGCAAAUGCGCGAGAAUAAAAGAGGGUUGCACCAGUUUAUGUUCACCACAUGAACACAUAGUUGCUAAGGUGUGUGUCUGCACGCGCAUAAAUUUCUUCUUUGUUAUCAAACAAUUUCUAUGUUUUGUAUAAGAUCAAACUGAACUGAACCUCAAUUGCAGAAAGCACGUGAUGAUCGUGAAUCAAAGGAUGGUCAUACUGAAAGUAUCAAUGCGGCCAAGCAAGGUGGUCCUCAACCAAGUGUACAGCUGAAUCGCGUCACUAAGGGCCUGGUCGGAGGUCCUCCGCUCCGCAAUCCCAAUCUCGGACUUCGUGGAGUGGCAGUUAAAAAUUGUAGAGCGGGGGAAAAGGUGCUCCGCAGAUCCUCAGAUUUGACGGAGCUGGAGCAUCUACGAACAGCUCCUAAGAAGGUAUAUAUAUAACUAUUCUAACCAUUUCUGUAAUACUCCCUCUGUCCCAAAAUAAGUGUCUUAAUCUUAGUAUAACUUUAUACUAUAGUUAGUACAAAGUUAGGACAGUUAUUUUGGGAUGGAGGGAGUAAUAUAUAUAUCAGAUGACAAUGGUUAGAAUAGUUAGUUGGUCUAAUUCCAUGUGCAAUCGUUCAUUUUUUCAUUAAGUGAAAUCUUCCAUGGUUUGUGAGAAUGAAUGUUUCAUUUCUUGAAAACAUAUAGGAUAAAAUGAAAGUCUUUUUAUUUUUGUUGAACCUGAGAAGCAAAAAUAAAUAUGUGGCUGAAGGAACUUUAGUGAGUAGAGAUAAAAAAUAUGUGAUUGGAGAAAGCAUGCUUGUAGAUCAAUAUGCAACAGUUUUUGUUUCCGCUGUUUCAAGACUUGGAGAUGAGACACUGUUUAGACCUUAUGACAAGUUCCGAACAGUAUAAGGGAUGCUAUUGGUCAUGUUAUUGCAUGGCCUCUAUCACAGGUAAGUACACUUCCAUAUAAUGACUGAUUAUGCUCCAAUGUACAUACUUCAGGUUUAUUAUUUAGGAAGAAUUUUUGUGUUUUUAGGUGAAAAACCCAAUCCCAGCCAUUCCUACACAGCGGCAAAACAAGCCACCAAACACUGGUACAACUCUUACAAAUUCAUCAAAGUACAUUUCUUCUCACACUACUCUUAAAACUUACAUACUACUAUUUUAUCUGUUAUCUUCCUUUUUCAGUGUAGCCCAAGAUUAGAAAAGGAGCGCAUUGCAAGAGCGACAAGCAACUACAGAAGAAUUAGUUUUUAAAUGGACAAAUAUUGUGUAUUAUAUAUAAAGGAUUUCUAGAUUCAUAGGAAAAUUUGGUUCUGGUUGUAUGAUAUUUUCAUAAUUAUUUGCAUCUUUUGUAUGAAUAUUUGAUUUCAUAAAGUUUUGAACUCAAGAUGUUUGUUCCUACUAAUUGAAAUUGUGCUAAUGAGAUGCUUGUGAAUACAAUUGGUUAUAUGGAAGGAUCCCUUUAUAUGAUAUUUCUUGCCUAAGAAUGUGGCUUCUGAUAUCAGUGGAUGCCUUUUACACAACAAUAUUUGUUAUUCCUUCUGCACAAGCGUGUGUUGUGACAAAGUAACUCAGUUUGAAAUGAUGUAACACAAAUUCAAAAUGAAUCAAUUUUUUUAAAGUUAAAUAUAUGUAGUUACAAAGAAGCUUGUGUAUAUUUAGAGACAAAUAUAUCGUCUCUACAUAGCGUGUAUAAGAAUGGGGUUAGGCCCAUGAUGAAUGAAACGACUAUGAGUAAAGAUGUGAUGCUAAUAGAACGACUAUACAUACAUAUAUAUGCUUUUAAAUGUCACAAUACAUCGUCUCAUACCUAGAUAUGCUUUUUACGUCCCAAUAUAGCGUCUCAUGUCAAAGGACCCUUUUGGAUGUCCCAAUAUAGCGUCUCAUAUCUACACACGCUUUUGGACGUCCCAAUAUAGCGUCUCAUGCCAUGUACACACGCUUAGCUAGCGUGUCUACAUGUUUUGAGAGUGUGCAUAGGGAGACGCUUUACUAAGUCGACUUUAUAGUUGCCUAGAGAUGAAAUAACACGUCUGUAGCUAUGGAAUAUGACGUCUCUACAUGUAGUUUUUCUUGUAGUGUUAUGGAUGAUUAUCCAAUUUUUUUAUGCGGGGUUGCAUUUUCCUUCUAGGAAUAUUUUAGAUUCCGACGCGGGUGGUACCUUCAUGGAAAUCACAUUAGGAGAAUCUACUAAACUCCUAGAUAAUAUUAUGGAAAAUUACUCUCAAUGGCAUACCGAAAGAUCUCCUAGUAGUAAAAAAGUGCACGCUAUUGAAGAAAUAAACACUUUGAGUGGAAAGAUGGAUGAAUUAAUGUAAUUGUUUUCUAGUAAGAGUGCUUCUAUUGAUCUCAAUGAAAUGCCUUUGUCUUCUUUGAUUGGAAAUAAUAAUGAAUCUAUGGAUGUGAAUUUUGUUGGUAGGAACAAUUUUGGCAAUAACACGUAUAGAGGUAAUUUCAAUCCUAGGCCGUUUCCUAGUAAUUCCUAUAAUAAUUAUGGUAAUUACUACAACAAUUCUUAUGGAAAUUAUAAUAAGAUUCCCUCUUAUCUUGAGAAUAAUAUUAAAGAAUUCAUUAGCUCGCAAAAAGGUUUCAAUGCUGUGAUUGAAGAAAAAUUGCUCAAGAUUGAUGAUUUGGCUAGGAACAUUGAUAGAAUUUCUCUGGAGAUUGAUUCUUUGAAAAUUAGAUCUAUUCCACCCAAGCAUGAUAUUAAUGAGUCUCUAAAAUCUAAGAGAAUUUCUAUUGAUGAGUGUAAGGAAAGAACCGCUAGAAUACGUGCUAAGCGUGAAUGGCUUGAAAAAGUGUUUUCUCGUGAUAAUAUUGAUGAAGAUCUUAAAGUGAUUGAUGUGACUCCUAUUGAAUCUUUGUUUUCUAGUAUAAAUCCUGAAAAAGAUGGGACUGGAGAUGAGUCAACUUUAGUUAAAAGGCGUCCCAUUGAUUCGGAGUUUAUAGAUCUUAAUGAUAAGAUUGAUAAAAAUGGGAUUGAAGAGGUCAAAACUUUAAACAGCAAUGAGCCCACUCUUUUGGAUUUCAAGGAAUUUAAUUAUGAUAGUUGUUCUUUGAUUGAUUGUGUUUCCUUGUUGCAAUCCAUGUUGAAUUCUCCGCACGCUUAUAAUCAAAAUAAAGCUUUUACUAAACAUAUUCUGGAUGCCAUGAUGAAAUCUUUUGAAGAAAAACUUGAGUUGGAAGUUUCUAUACCUAGAAAUAUUUAUGAUGAAUAGGAACCUACUAUUAAGAUUAAAAUUAAAUAUUAUGAGUGCCAUGCUUUGUGUGAAUUGGGUGCUAGCGUUUCCACAAUUCCAAAAACUUUAUGUGAUGUGCUAGGAUUCCAUGAAUUUGAUGAUUGCUCUUUAAAUUUGCAUCUAGCGGAUUCUACGAUUAAGAAACCUACGGGAAGGAUUAAUGAUGUUCUUAUUGUUGCAAAUAGUAAUUAUGUGCCAAUAGAUUUCGUUGUUCUUGAUAUAGAUUGCAAUCCUAUAUGUCCUAUUAUUCUUGGUAGACCUUUCCUUAGAACGAUUGGUGCAAUUAUUGAUACGAAAAAGGAAAUAUUAGAUUCCAGUUUCCGUUAAGGAAAGGCGUGGAACACUUUCCUAGAAAUAAAAUUAGAUUACGUUAUGAAUCUAUUAUGAGAGCUACCUAUGGAUUGCAUACCAAAUAUGACAAUACCUAGAUGUAUUGCAUUAUGCCAAGCUAGGGGCGUUAAACAAUAGCGCUUGUUGGGAGGCAACCCAAUUUUAUUUUUAUGCUUUUGUUUUUGCUUCUAUUUUUAAGUUCUCACACAUUAUUACCUCUGUAAUAAUUGUGUUUUUUUAAUUAGUGUUUGAGCCAAGUAAGACCUUUGGGAUGGUCUACGGUGUUUGCAAGUUGAUUUUGCUGAAAAACAGAAACUUUCGCUCUCAGUACAAGAAUUUUGUAAAUUCACUGGAACGUGAUUUUUAUCUGAAGUUUUUACACAAAAUUGGUUUACAAAUUUCCCAGAUUUUCCUAAUGUUUCAAAAUAUUUGGAGUUACAGAAGUAUUCGAAGUAAAUUGAUUGCCACAGACUGUUCUGUUUUUGACACAUUCUGUUUUCUUUGUGUUGUUUGCUUAUUUUGAUGAAUCUAUGGGUUGUAUCGGGGGGUAUGAAAAAUGGAGAAGUUGGAAUAAAUUAAAUAUUACAUCAAUAUAAAUAAAUAAUGAGUUCACAAUAGUACCUAAAGUGGUGAUUUAUUUUUCUUAUACUAACGGAUCGCAUGAGUUUUCUGUUGAGUUUUGUGUUCUGAAGUUUUCAAGUUUUGGGUAAAGAUUCGAUGAACUAUGGAAUAAGGAGUGAUAAGAGCCUAAGAUUGGGCAUUCUCAAGACACCCCAAGCCAUAUUCAUUGAUACCAAAGAGCCUAAGCUUGGGGAUGCCCCGGAAGGCAUCCCCUCUUUCGUCUUCAAUCCAUCAGUAAAUUUACUUGAGGCUAUAGUUUUAUUCACCACAUGAUAUGUGUUUUGCUUGGAGCGUCUUGUAUGAUAUGAGUCUUUACUUUUUAGUUUGUCACAACCAUACUUGCUGCACACACCUUUUGAGAGAGACACACGCUGAAUCGUGAAUUUAUUAGAAUACUCUUUGUGCUUCACUUAUAUUUUUUGAGCUAGUCAAUGUUGCUCUAGUGGUUCACUUAUAUCUUUUAGAGCACGACGGUGUUGUGUUUUAUAGAAAUUAUUAAACCGUCGUACCUCACUUAUAUUAUUUUGAGAGUUCUUUAAAUAGCAUGGUAACUGGUUUAGGUUAUGAAUUUAGUCCUAAUAUAAUGGGCAUCCAAGAGGGAUAUAAUAAUAACUUUCAUAUUAAGUGCAUUGAAUAUGAUGAGAAGUUUGAUUCCAUGCAUAUAGUUUUGAGAUAUUAAGAUGGUAAUAUGAGAGUCAUGUUAGUAAGUAAUUGUGAAUUAGAAUAAAUACUUGUGUUAAAUCUUGUGAUUCCCGUAGCAUGCACGUAUGGUGAACCGUUAUGUGAUCAAGUCGGAGCAUGAUUUGUUUAAUGAUUGUCAACCUUUGUGUGGAGGUCGGGAUCGCGCGAUGGUUAACUCCUACCAACCCUUCCCCUGGGAUCAUGCGUCUAAUAAUUUUCUUUGAUAACUAAUAGGCUUUUUCAAUAAGUAUGUGAGUUCUUUAUGACUAAUGCUGAGUUCAUGGAUUAUACACACUCUCACCCUUCCACAUUUGCUAGCCUCUCUAGUACCGUGGAACUCUCGCCGGUACAUUAAACCCACCUUCCUCAAAACAACCACCAUAUAUUUUCCUCAAAACAACCACCAUACCUAACUAUUAUGGCAUUUUCAUAGCCAUUCCGAGAUAUAUUGCCAUGCAACACCACCGUCCCAUUUUUACGACACGCACCAUCACUUCCAUAUUGCUUAUAGAGUCAUACUUUGUUCUAGAUAUCGAGUUGUAAUCUUUUGAGUUGUAAGUAAAUAAAAGUGUGAUGAUUUGCGUUAUUAGAGCAUUGUCCCGUGUGAGAUAAGGAUGAUUAAAGCUAUGAUUCCCUCACAAGUUGGGAUGAGUCUCCGGACUUUACAAAAAAUAAAAGAGGCCAGUGAAGCCCAUAAAAAAUAUAAAAGAGGCCAAAGAAGCCCACCAAAAAAAGAGAAAAAAUGAGAGAAAGAGAGAAGGGACAAUGCUACUAUCCUUUUCCACACUUGUGCUUCAAAGUAGCACCAUGUUCUUCAUAGAGAGUCUCCUAUUUUGUCACUUUCAUAUAACUAGUGGAAUUACAUCUUUUGCACAACCACUUAGUUUCCUUUUUGAGCUUCCAUACACUUAUAGCUCUAGUGCAAUUGUUGCAUGGCAAUCCCUAGUCACUCACAUUGAUAUCUAUUGAUGGGCAUCUCCAUAGACCAUUGAUAUGCCUAGUUGAUGUGAGACUAUGUUCUCCUCUUUUUGCAACCUCCACCACACUCUAUCCCACCUAUAGGGCUAGAUCCAUGGCUCACACUCAUGUAUUGCAUGAGAGUUGAAAAGGUUUGAGAACAUAAAAAGUGUGAAAUAGUUGCUUGAUUUUCAUCAGGGUUGUGCAUGAUUUAGAUACUUUGUGAGGUGAAGAUGGACCAUAGCCAGGCCGUAUGAUUUUGUAGGGUUAACUUUCUAAGAGCAUGUUAUUUCGAAAGGAAGCAAUUACCUUAUUAAUAUGCUUGAAGUACUAUUGUUUUUAUGUGAAUAUUAGACUUUUGUUUUGAAUCUUAUGGAUCUGAAUGCUCAUGCCACAAUAGAUAAUAUUACAAGGAUAAAUAUGUUAGGUAGCAUUCCACAUAAAAAUUAUUUUUUUAUCAUUUACCUACUCGAGGACGAGCAUGAAUUAAGCUUGGGGAUGCUUGAUACGUCUCCAACAUAUCUAUAGUUUUUGAUUGUUCCAUGCUAUUAUGUUAUCUGUUUUGGAUGUUUUAUAUGCAUUAAUAUGUUGUUUUAUAUUAUUUUUGGGACUAACCUAUUAAUCUAGAGCCUAGUGCCAGUUUCUUUUUUCCCACAUUUUUGAGUAUUGCACAUAAGGAAUAUUAAACGGAGUCCAAACAGAAUAAAAUCUCCGGAAUGAUUUUUCUUGGACCAGAAGAAACACAUGAGACUUGGAGUAGGGGGCAGGGCAUGUGUUGGGAGGCCACAAGCCUGCAGGGUGCGCCCUAGGGGGUCGUCGCGCCCCUGGCUUGUGGGUCCCCUUCAAGUCUCCUAACCCUAUUCUUUUGCCAAUAAAUUCCCAAAUAUUACCAUAUCGCAGAAGAGAGCCACGAAAAUACUUCUACGCCGCCGGGAGCCUAUGUUCCCGUGAGAUACAAUAUGGGAGCCUUUUCCGGUAAUCUGCCGGAGAGGGAAUUGAUCAUGGAGGGCAAAUACAUCAACUCCAUUGGCCCUCCGAUGAUGCGUGAGUAGUUCAUCACAGACCUACGGGUCUAUAGCUAGUAGCUAGAUGGCUUCUUCUCUCUCUUUGAUCUUCAAUACCAUGUUCUUCAUGAUCUUCAUGGAGAUCUAUCCGAUCUAAUACUCUUUGCGGUGUGCUUGUCGAGAUCCGAUGAAUUGUGAGUUUAUGUUAAGAUUAGCCAUGAAUAUUAUUUGAGUCUCUUCUGAAUUCUUAUAUGCAUGAUUUCAUAUCUUUGCAAGUCUCCUCAAACUAUUGGUUUGGUUUGGCCAACUAUAUUGGUAAUUCUUGCAAUGGGAGAAGUGCUAAGUUUUGGGUUCAAUCUUGCGGUGUCCUCACCCAGUGACAUAGUAGGGGUAGCGAGGCACGUAUUGUAUUGUUGCCAUCGAGGAUAAAAAGAUGGGGUUUUCAUCAUAUUGCUUGAGUUUGUCCCUCUACAUCAUGUCAUCUUACUUAAUGCGCUACUCUCUUCUCCAUGAACUUAAUACUCUAGAUGCAGGCAUGAGUCGAUCGUGUGGAGUAAUAGUAGUAGAUGGAGAAUCAUUUCGGUCUACUUGACACGGACGUGAUGCUUAUAUGCAUAAUCAUUGCCUUGGAUAUCUUCAUAAUUAUUCGCUUUUCUAUCAAUUGCUCGACAGUAAUUUGUUCACCCACCGUAUUAUUUUCCUUUAUGAGAGAAGCCUCUAGUGAAACCUACGACCCCCGGGUUUAUUUCCCAUAUUAUAUUUUUAGAUCUAUAAACCAAAAAUAUCUUGCUGCAAUUUAUUUACUAUUGUUUCCGCAAUCUUUUAUAUCUAUCUCUACCAGAUCUCAUCCUUGCAAACACUCUGAAGGGAUUGACAACCCCUCUAUAGCGUUGGGUGCAAGUGUUUGAUUGUUUGUGUAGGUACUAUGAUUGGGGCCUUGCUUAUUACUCCUACUGGAUUGAUACCUUGGUUCUCAACAAACCGAGGGAAAUACUUAUUACUUCUCUACAUCACCCUUUCCUCUUCAAGGGAAAACCAACGCAAGCUCAAGAGGUAGCAAUUGACAGUAAAAAUUCAUACUUCACAACAGAAAAAAUGCAUAAUAAUUGACAAGAAUAUAGUUCAACAUCAGCAUUGCACAUGAGGGUUCAACAUGACCAUAAAAGUUCAACAACGAGCUAAACAAAUAGUUGAAAAGUUCAACAUCACCAAAUAGUAGUUCAACAUCACCAAAUAGUAGUUCAACAUCACCAACAUAGCCACACACUAAAUAACCAUCAAGUGCCUGCAUCACCUUCUUCCUCUCUUUGAGCACCCUCAUUCCAGGUUUUCUUCUAGCAACGAGGCAUCGGUCUUUGAACGAAUCCGGAGAAAGUACAUCAGUAUGAGGGUUAGAAACCCUUUUUGCUUGGGAAACUAGUGGUGCAUCCAUCAUCCGAUGAGAUGUUAAUCUCCUUCGGGCCCUCGUCCUGUGAGUCCUCCUCUUAUUCGUCAGAUUCAUAAAUAUCCAUAGAAUAUCCACCAGUAUGGCUAGCUGUAGCACCAACGUGACUAGAAAUAGCGGAAGCUCCACUUGCAUGCAUCGAUGUGCCAGGAGCAUGCAGAUCAAUGUUACCAGGGGCUGCACACCCAAGCAUGGGGGCUAGCCUCUAACAACGUGUUCUUAAGCGCUGCAAUGACAACAACAACGACAAACACAAUUUUCAAUGCAAAGCAAACAUUUGUGUAGUAAACCAUAUGGUAAGGAGUUCGAAUGCUUACUUUCAUAGGGUCCCUCAGUGUAGUCUUGGACUGUGUGAGUGCGUUUGAGCCUUCGAUGAUACUUCUGUUGAGCUCAUAAGUCUGCAAAUUCAAAGAAAGAGCUCCAAAGUGUGCAUAAUCUAGAGGAGAUGAAAACCAUUCUCGACAAAAUUUCAAAAGACUUACCACUCGGCCAGUCAUGGGCGCGUACUGUCUAUGUUCACGUUGUGUACUUAUCUUCUGAGUCACAAUUUUGAUGGGCUCCAGUGAUAUCUGCGUCCGUCCACCUUGGUCUCAAACGCAACCAAAAUUGCCUCUGAUUCUUGUGAUCUGCGUUGGGUUUUCCAUGAAGAGGAACGGGUUAUCACAACACAAUGUGGGUAAGUAUUUCCCUCGGUUACUAAACCAAGGUUUAUCAAACCAAUAGGAAUAUCAACAACAACCGUCUUGAGCGACUGCACACACACACGAACAAACAAUUUGCACCCAACGCAGGGAAUAGGGUUGUCAAUCCCCUUGGUAUUGUUAUUUGCAAUCAAGUGAGAUGUGUAGAUGAUUGUAAAAUGCAAAAUAAAAUGAAAAUAAGUAAAUGGCAGCAAGAUAUUAAAGGUUUUGUAAAUAUAUCGUGAAUAGAACCGGGGCCAUAGUUAUCCCUAAUAGCAUCUCUCAUGAAAAUAACAUAUAGUGGGUAAACAAAUUACUUGGGCAAUUAAGAGAAAAGCGGAUAGUUAUGCGAUACUCACGGCAAUGAUGAUGUGUAUAUAUGCAUCACGUCCAUAAACAAAUAGGUCGACUCCUACCUGCACCUAUUACUAUUACUCAACUCAUCAACCGCUAUCCAACAUGCAUCUAGAGUAUUAAGUUAAAUAGAGUAAUGCAUGGAGAACGAUGACAUGAUGUAUACAAAGUAAACUCAAGCAAUAUGAAUAAAACCCAUCGUGUUAUCCUUAGUAGCAACAACACAAAGACACAUCUUGUCCCCUUCUAUCAAUGGGAUAUAGAAAUUUGUCAGAUUGAACCUACUACAACGCACCUCUCUCUCCGAAGAAAUAUCAAUCUAGUUGACCAAACUAUUUCAAUAGAUUGGAGAGAAUUACGAAUCUAUCAUAAUCAUGCACAUAAUAAUGAUGUUAGUAUUCAGAGAAGACUCAAAUAUUUAUCAUGAGUAAUCUGAACAUACACCCAUAAUUCAUCGGAUUCCAACAAAUGCACCGCACAAAAGGAUUACAUCAUAUGGAUCAAAGCGAAGAGGUGAUUAUCAUUGUAUUGAAGAUCAAGAGAGAGAUAUCCAUCUAGAUACUAGAUAUGGACCCAUAUGUGUGUGGUGAACUACUCAGACAUCAACAUGAGGGCGACAUGGUUGAUGAAGAAGCCCUCCGUGAUCGACCCCCCUCCAGCAGGGUGCCGAAAUAGAGCUCUAGAUGGCCAUCCCCAUCGGAAUAUAGACUUGUGGUGGCGUAAAAAGUGUUUCAGGACUACUUCUAGUGUUAUUAGGAUAUAUGAUAAUUUAUAAGCUAGAGAACAGAGUUGGGAGGUGAUAACCCACAAGUAUAGGGGAUCACAACAGUUUUCGAGGGUAGAGUAUUCAACCCAAAUUUAUUGAUUCGACACAAGGGGAGCCAAAGAAUAUUCUCGAGUAUUAGCAGUUGAGUUGUCAAUUCAACCACACAUGAAAGACUUAGUAUCUGCAGCAAAGUUUCAGUAGCAAAGUAGUAGGAUAGUAACGGUAGCGGCAGUAACAGUAGCAGUAGUGACUUGUGUAGCAAUUGUGACAGCAGUAGCGGUAAAGUAACUUAGCAAGGACUAGUAUAGGAAAAGCUCGUAGGCAUUGGAUCGGUGAUGGAUAAUUAUGUCAGAUGGCAUUCAUCAUGUAACAGUUAUAACAUAGGGUGAUAUGCAACUAGCUCCAGUUCAUCAAUGUAAUGUAGGCAUGUAUUCUGUAUUUAGUCAUACGUGCUUAUGGAAAAGAACUUGCAUGACAUCUUUUGUCCAUCCCUCCCGUGGCAGCGGGGUCCUAAUGGAAACUAAGGGAUAUUAAGGUCUCCUUUUAAUAGAGAACCGGAACAAAACAUUAGCACAUAGUGAAUAUAUGAACUCCUCAUACUAUGGUCAUCUUCGGGAGUGGUUCUGGCUAUUGUCACUCCGGGGUUGCCAGGUCAUAACACAUAGUUGGUGACUACAACUUGCAAGAUAGGAUCAAGAAUACACGUAUAUUGAUGAAAGCAUAAUAGGUUCAGAUCUGAAAUCAUGGCACUCGGGCCCUAGUGACAAGCAUUAAGCAUAGCAAAGUAGUAGCAACAUCAAUCUUAGAACAUAGUGGAUACUAGGGAUCAAACCCCAUCAAAACUAACUCGAUUACAUGAUAGAUCUCAUCCAACCCAUCACCGUCCAGCAAGCCUACGAUGAGAUUACUCACGAACGAUGGAGAGCAUCAUGGAAUUGGCGAUGGAGGAUGGUUGAUGAUGAUGACGACGUCGAUUUCCCCUCUCCGGAGCCUAGAACGGAAUCCAGAUCUGCCCUCCCGAGGAAGAACAGGAGGUGGCGGCGGCUCCAUAUUGUGAAACGCGAUGAACUCUUCUCUCCUAAUUUUUCCUGGGCGAGAGAGACUUUAUAGAGUUGGAGUUGGAGGCUGCGGAGCUACGUGGGCCCCACAAGCCUACCAGGCGCGCCCUAGGGGGGCGCCUCCUGGGCUCGUGGGCUCCUGCUCUGUGUCUUAGGGUAAUUCUUGCACAAGUAUUUUUUAUAUAUUCCACAAAAAAUCCUCGUAAGUUUCGAGGUCAUUUCGAGAACUUUUAUUUCUGCACAAAAACAACACCAUGGCAAUUGUGCUGAAAACAGCAUGAGUCCGGUUAGUUCCAUUCAAAUCAUGCAAAUUAGAGUCCAAAACAAGAGCAAAAGAGUUUGGAAAAGUAGAUACGAUAUAGACAUAUCAGGAGGGCCUCGAGGGCCCCAUAAGCCAUCAGGGUCCGCCCCAGGCCGCGCCAUGUCAGCUUAUGGGGCCCUCGAGUGGCCUCCAGACUUCUUUUGAUGCUCGUUGGUCUUCUUUCGAUCCGAAAAAAACUCCGAAAAGUUUAACGUCAAUCGGACUUCGUUUGGUAUUGAAAACCCAAAAUAGAAAAACAUGCAGAUAACAACAACUCACACUGGGCACUCGGUCAAUAGGUUAGUGCUUAGAAAUAAUUUAAAUUGGUAAAUAAAUAUAAAAAAGUAUCCUAAAAUGGUAAUAUAUCAGCAUGUAACAAUAAAAAAUUAUAGAUAUGUUGGAUAUGUAUCAAGCAUCCCCAAGCAUAAACAUAACUUUUUAUGUGACAUGCUACCAAUUAUGUAACCUUAUGCAUGUAUGCUCAUUGAGAAAUGAUGAGUUAAUAAACAUUAACAUAGUAAUACUUAUAAGUAUAAGCAACAAAAUGAUUAAUUUUUCAAAGUAUACGAUCCUCAAAGGUUGUUUUAACCCCAUUCAUCUUAUUAUAUUAGCAAGGCAUGGUUCCGUCUUCACCACAUUAAUACAAAUUUCAAGCACCACGGAAUUGGAUUGUAAUUCUUCAAUAUGCAUCAACUUUUUAUUCUUCACGCAAUACACGAGCGUGAACCGUAGGACAUAGCAUAUAGGUGGAAUAGAAUAUGGUGGUAGGUCUCAAAGGGGUAAAAGAUGGAGAAGAUAAUCUCAAAUCAACUAGGCAUACCAAGAGAUCAUGGAGAUGCCCGCCAAUAGAUAUAGAUGGAAGGAGUAGGGAUUGCCAUGCAAAUGAUGCACUCGAGCUAUAAGUGUAUGAAAGCUCAACUGAAGGUAAGUAGGCAUGUGCAUCCAACUUGCUUUCUCAUGAAGACCUUGGGCAUUAGAGGAAGCCCGUCAUCGGAAUACAAAAGCCAAGUUUAUGAAAAAGUGAUUCCCACUAGCAUAAGGACGAUAUAACAUGAGACUGUCUAUAUGAAGAACAAGGUGCCACUUUGAGGCACAAGUGUGGUAAAGGAUAGUAACAAAGUGCCUUCUCUCUUUUUUCCUCAUUCAUUUAUUAUUAUUAUGGUGGGUUCAUUUGGCCUCCCCCAUUUUCAUUCCCUCAAUGGGACAAUGCUCUAAUAAUGAUGAUCAUCACAAUUUUAUUUACUUACAACUCAACAUGAGAACUGCUAGGACGGAAUCACUCUGUAUGAAUGUCUCUGGCAGUGUACCAGGAUGUGCAAAGAUCUAGCAUGACAUGUAUCAAAAAUAUGAUGAACGGUCGCUUUGCCACAAAUACUAUGUAAACUGUAUAUGAUAAUGCAAAGCAUUAUGAUGAUGAACGAACUAGUCAUGUGAAGUGACGAUGGAAUUUGCAUGGCAAUAUAUCUCAGAGUGGCUAUGGAAAUGCCAUGAUAGGUAGGUAUGGUGGCUGUUUUGAGUAAUAUAUAAGAAGGAUUAUGUGCAACAGAGCAUGCCAUGUCACGGGGUUGGGAUGCACCCGAUAAAGUUGUACCGAUCCUCAAGGUGAGAAUGGGCAAUGCACGAUACCGAAGAGGCUAGCAAAUAUGAGGAGGUGAGAUUGUGUAUGUUCAUGGUGUCACAUUAGUCAUACAUAACUCAUAUACUUAUUGCAAAGUUUUAUUAAUUUUAUUACAAAUCAAAGUACUACUUGCAUGCCCUGAGGGAGAGGGUUGGUAGGAAUUAACCAUCGCAUGAGUCCGACUCGAAACAACACUAGGAUUUCAACGGGGAAUAGAAAUGCUCACACACCAUCACGACGCCCUUUUAAUUUUUAGACGAACAAGAAGUUAACAUCUCUUAAUUUGACACCUCUCUAAAUUAAUAAUAAUGCACUCACACCUUUUUCAUAUCACCAUAUCACUAUCAUUAACCCAUAAUUUCUCUAUAUGUGUUACAUGAUGGCUUUAAUUAUCAUUCAUUGAAUACCUAGUAGUUUUUGUCUAGUCUUAUGACCCAUGCAAAUUUCCGUCACUAUUUAUUUAACUCCCAAACAAAUAUAAGUGAAUAAUCAUAGCAUAAUAUUUCUAUAAAAUCUACAUGCACCGUCCUAAAAAAGAUAUAAGUGAAGUGGUAGAGCAACUCGUAAGCUCAAAUGAUACAAGACACAUAUAGUAUUCUAACAAAUUAUUAUGAUGAUGUAUCUCUCCCAAAUAGGCGUGUCCAGCAAAUGAUGAUUGUGGAAAACUGAAAGUAAAAUUAAACAAAUGCAAAUGACGCUCUAAGAAAAACUCAUGUCAUGCGAUGAAUAAAAAUGUAGCUCCAAGUGAUAUACCGAUAGAUUGAGACGAAAGAGGGGAUGCCUUCCGGGGCAUCCCCAAUUUUAGAAGCUUGAGUCUUCCUAGAAUAUCACCUUGGGGGUGCCUUGGGCAUCCCCAAGCUUAGUGUUUUGUUGCUCCUCAUUCCUUUGUUUAUCAGGAUAGUACCAAAACUUGAAAACUUCAAUCACAUAAAACUCAACAAAAGUUUGGGAGAUCUGUUAGUAUAAGUAACAUAUCAAAUACUUUUAGGUACUAUUAUAAGUUGAUUCUAAUUUUAUUUUAGCAUAAGUUAUUGUAUUCUAAUUUCUCCAAGGCUUAUUCUCCUCGGUACAAUCCAUAUCAUCCUCAAAACAAGCAAACUACGCAAGCAAUAACAGAAUUUGACUAAAAUAGAACAGUUUGUAGUAAUCUGUAAUGAACCUAUACUAAUGUAAGUCCAAAACUUCUUAACAAUUAGAAUUUCCUGAGGAAUUUGUAUAUUAGUACUGUGUAAAAAAAUCAGCUUAAAAAGACGUCCGAGUAAAAUCAGAGAAAAUUUUCACUGGAUGUCAAAGUUUCUAUUUUUACCGUAUCAAUUCUACUCAUCAUACAAAUUAUCCUAAUGGAUUUACUUAGCACAAACACAAACUAAAACAAAAAAUACAAUCAUUGUAGAGGCAAUAAUCAUGUUAUCACAAACAAACAAAAAUAAGUGAUAACUAAUGAGUUGUCUCCGAACAAGCUCUUUCUUUAUAGCCAUUAAGAUCGGCUUGAAAUUUCAAUGAUGCUCACAUAAAAGACAAGAAUUGAAUCUCAAAGAGAGCAUCAUAAAACAUAUGACAAGAACAUUUAAGUCUAACAUACUUCAUGUGCAUAGGGCAUUUUAUAAGCAAACAAUUUAUGAAGACAAGAAGUGUCUAGCAUAAGCAAGUAGGAAGAAUGAAGCAUUAAAUUUUUGAAUAUCAAGAGAGGUAAGUGAGUAACAUGAACAUUUCUAAAACCAUAUUUUCCUCUCCCAUAAUGAUUACAUGUAGGAUCAUAUUCAAAUUCAGUGUUGGGUUCAAAUAACGAGACCAAGGGGAUUGACAACCUUGUUGCCCGUGUUGGGUGCAAGUUGUUUGUUCUUUUAUUUGCAACCGCUAAAGACAGUUGUUGUUGAUAUUCCUAUUCGUUUGUUAAACCUUGGUUUCAUAACUAAGGGAAAUACUUACCCACACUAUGCUGCGAUAACCCGUUCCUCUUCACGGAAAACCCAACGCAGAUCACAAGUAUCAGGAAGUAUUUCUGGCGCCUUUGCCGGGGAAUAUCAUGAAAAACUAUCAAGUAACUUAACACAAAUUAUCAUUCACUUGUUUUUCUUUUUAUUUGCUGUUAUAUCUUGCUUAAUUAAAAAAAUAGAAACAAAAAUAUUUACCUUUGCUUGUCACUAGUUUGCAUCUUCGCUCUCUAGUUUACUUGCCUAGCUAUGCUAUCUUUAUCUUUGUCACACCAAAAUAGAAAGUAAAAUGCAAAUAUUAAGAUAACUGGAUCCUCAUCCACUAGCUAAUCUUUUCAAAAGACUCGUUUAUGCUGAAACAAUUUCUAGUGAGAGUGCACUAUAUUAUCUUUAUGAGAUCUUGCUUGAAAAUCAUGAAUCCAAAAAUUGUGAAAAUUAUAAAGUGAUUCAUGAUAGUUCCUUUAAUGAAAAUCAUGAUUGCUAUAUUGUUGAAUUUGAAUAUGAUCCUACAUGUAUUUAUUAUGAGAGAGGCAAAUAUGGUUAUAGAAAUGUUCAUGUUACUCACUUACCUAUCUUGAUAUUCAAAUUGUUAAUACUUCAUUCUUCCUACUUGCUGAUUCUAGACACUUUUUGUCUUGAUAAAUUGUUUGCUUAUAAAGUGUCCUGUGCAUAGGAAGUAUGUUAGACUUAACUGUUCUUAUCACAUGUUUUAUGAUGCUCUCUUUGAGAUUCAAUUCUUGUCUUUUAUGUGACCAUCAUUGAAAUUUCAAGCCUAUCUUAAUGGCUAUAAAGAAAGAGCUUGUUGAAAGGCAACCCAAUAGUUAUCAUUUACUUUUGUUUGUUUGUGAUAACAUGAUUAUUGACUCGAUAAUGAUUGUGUUUUUAGGUUUUAGUUAGUGUUUUUGCCAAGUAAAGCCUUUGGGAUGAUUUGCAUGAUGAGUAGACUUGAUACGGUGCAAAAACAGAAACUUUGAUGUCCAGUGUAGAAUUUCUCCGAUUUUACCGGAAUAUAUUUUUAAGCUGAUUUCUUUUACAAAGUAUUGCAAUAAAAAUUCCUCAGGUCAUCCUAAUUGUUGAGAAUUUUUGGAGUUACAGAAUUAUAGGUUCAUUACAUAUUACUACACACUGUUCUGUUUUGUGGAUGGAGGAGAUGGAGAGCGGAGGUGAGGUGUGCUUCUUGACUAGCGCCUAGACACAUUUAUAUAGCACGAUAAUGCAAAAAGCUAUCUGGAGAGAUGUUUAAUGUUCGUCGGAACAUGCACAAACAGGUGGUGCUCACGGCGCUAGAGUAGGUUACUUGGCACACAUAUCGGUUUAAAGGAGGUAGGCGGGCAGACGGAUCCCGUUUUAGUGUGGAGAGAAGGUGUGAACAUCUGACGAUCAGUGGGUGGCACUCUCGAUUGGCGAGCCUCUUUCAUGUCGGCUCCAGUGAGUGGUCGCGUCCUCUCUAGCCAACAUGAAUGCGGGCAUCUAGAAUUGGGAGGGAGCACAAGAGGGCAUGUGAAAUGUGUGUUUGGUGGGCCAGGUUAGUUAGAUGUGGGCGUGGCAGUGGUCUAGACGCCUACACCCCCUCCAAGUUUGUUUGUGGUCGGGUGGCCAAAGAGAGCGUCUCGACUGCCAAACAGACCAAUGUAGCCCCGUGUUGGAUGGCAAAACACGCCUAGACCACCGAACAAAUCAAUGUAGACGCGUGUUGGAUGGCGAAACACAUCCACACCGCGUGAUCCAGACCGUUACAGAUGGUUUGAGGGUCGACAUUAAAGAUGCUUUUACUAGUCAAAGUUAUAUCCCACUAUGACUAGGCUAAAAAAAUGUAACGGGGCCUAGCCACUGUGCGUUUAUGCCGUGAUAUUAUGUGGUUUCAUUUUCGUGAUGAAACUGGAGCGAGGCCACCCCCUAUUUUCCUUAAAAUAUAAUGUAGUCCCUCCUAAAGAAAUAUAAGAGUGUUUAGAUCACUAGUUUAAUGAUCUAUAUGUUAUUAUAUUUCUUUGUAGAGGGAGUAUAUAAUAUGAUGCGGAAAUGCAAGAAAAGUUUGAUGUUUAUUGUGUUGAGCUGCAUCAACUAUGUACCCAGUCUAGAUUGAUCAAACACCUAUAUCUAAUUUAGCUUUAUCAAUAUGAGUCAACACCAGAUAUGAUUAGAGGUGUCGCAUGAUCUGCUGAAGGAAGCUGCUAGAAGAUGACAUGGCAACAAGAGGUAGCCUUCAUAGUCAGGCCAGCAACCAGUGCCAAUGAUCAAAUGACAACGAAAGAUGGGGCAAAAAUAUGUUACAAUGGCGACCCACAUGAUUAGGUUUUCUUGUACUCCCACCCACACCGUCGUCGUUCCUCCCCGACUUUGAUGGUCUUUGGGCCAUGGAUGUGCGCCCCCUAGCGGGAUGAACUCCUCUCUCAUUCUUGUUAGGUUCAACGUCUUCGUUGGGGUUGUGUGGCAGCGGCAAUGCCCCUCGAUGGAAUAAUGUAUCCCACAUGCGAUGCCCGCCCGUGGUGUUUCUAGCAUCGCCGGAGGGCGUAUGGAGGCGUGUCUCCAUCAGAUCUUGUGGGAUUCGGUCGGUGCUUGUCUUUGUUGGUUAUUUUUUGCAUACAAUCUUUAUUCGUGCGUUUAUAUAUUUUAUCCUUUUGAUCACGACUCUCUUCAUCAACGUUAGUUGCCGCUUUGUUGCCUGGUCCCAUGGGGACUUAACACCGACUUUUCAGUUGUCUAUUACAAUAAGGUUUACCUGACUCUCGUGAGGUGGGGGAGGGGGCGAUGAUAAUGGCACGACUUCGGCAUGCUCGAGUGCUUGUAGUCAUCGCUAGGUGGUAUAUGGACCUGAUUAUAAUUUUGAUUACCUGUGGUCUUCUCUGUACUAUCCUUAUAGAUUAUAAAUAGGUUGAAGUUUCUCCAACAUAAAAUAAGAUCAAAGACCAAGAAAAAUUUGGUGUAGAACACUUUUCUUUUGUAAAUAGUACUCUAUGCGUUUUUUGUAUGGAGAUGAAAUUGGCUCCUCCUCUGGUGAUGGCAGGGGUGACUCUGCAAGCUUUCUCAACCCACUUAGCGCGUCGGCGACAACUGUUGUCCUCGCCUCCACUUCUCCAUCAGAAGGUACCAUCGCCCCUCCUUCGCCCCCGACCUCGCUUGCUUCCCCAACUGCCAUCCGUUUGGCAGCAUGGGCGGACCUCACAGAGGAGGAUGACCGAGCUAUGGGAUGCCCCAUCCUCCAUCGUGCUGCAGUGAGCCCGCUCUGUACCCAUGUCAGCGUGGAUAUGUCUGCUGUUAUCGCUGGCGCUCCCCCUAGGUGUGGACGCUGUGCCGGCCUGGUGCGGCACAUCCCAUGACAUAGGCCUCUUUGCUUUGCUUGAGCACCGACGGGAAAAGGUUUGCCCUUACGGAGUAGGGUGUGCCAUGGCUGCUCCCAUGGCUGUGGGGGGGGGGGGGGGGGGUCAGGGACGUGUUGACGGGGGACUAGCCUGCUUCUCCUAGCGUGCUGGUGAAAGAGCAUGCCUCCCCAUGGUUUUGGUAAUUGAUGACAAUCUCUAUGGACGAGUGAUUGCCUUGAGUUAAAUUUGAAGGGUUUGUUCAUAUGCAUUGCUUGAAGACCAUCUCUUUGUUUAAAGGUUAUUAGAAGAACAAUUGUAACACCUUGUGUGUGACAAAAGCGCAUAUAUAAAUACUUUACUCCGACUUUUGUUAGGACAAUAACUAAUUGGAUACUUUUACUAAAGUGCUACAUAACCCUGUGUAUUUUGCAUGCCUUCACGAUCUCUUAUAAUUUUACGCUACCAACUCACUUGCAUUGCUAAUUCAUACAACCAUUCAACUCUGUUUAGUAUUUUUUUUGUGGGUCCUGUUUUUUUUUCUUUUUUUUGCGAUGGAAAAGAGAGCUUUAUUUAGUUACUGAUAGGAUUUCAAUCGGUAGCCAGAAGGCUAAUUAGAGCAUCAUGGGCAUCCGACAACCAUAACUCGGUUCGACGUUUCGUUCUUAACAAAUAGGCUAUUCGAUCUGUAGCCCUAUUCUGCGAACGAUCAAUACAUAAAAGACAGUGACAUGCCAGACAGAGAGUGAAUUUCCAUGAUGCCUAGUCAAUUCUAGACAAGAUGCCAAACAAAUCCAUGUUUUUGGUUCUGAUUGGCUCAUUCUUAGCUGAGCACAAUGGCACGUGUUGGCUUAACUUGCAUGAAGCCAUCUUGUGGAUUAUACCUGAUCUUGGAGUUGAUUUAUUUCAUGGACCAACCCAUGUUCACACAUUCAAUGUUAUUUCUACACAUUUAUGGCACCCCCCCUCUCACAUUCUUGAUAUAUAAAAUCGUGAACCUGUUGCAUGGUUCACUUCCAACUUGCGCAUUCUUCAUGAUUUUUGGUUGCUAUGUCCUAGCAGACCAUAAGAGUCUCAAUUCCCUCACCAAAAAGUGCAAUCUUUCUACUAUUGCAAGAAUCUAGUACUUGGAAUGCGUGGCAUCCGGUAAACUGUAGAAGCAAACUGCCUCCAUAAGUCUUCCUUGCACCGUGGGCAAAUUGGUUCGUUCAGGCUGCUAAGUAAAAAUAAAAGGCAACAAUAGAGUCAGACCGAUCAAAACUGCCACAACACCAAAGUUCUCAUCAUCAUGGCACGCUUGCAUCACAUUUGCAUCACUAUGUACGGAUGGCAUGCUGCUGGCCCGAGUCGCGUAUGAAGAUGUUACGUCGUAUGUUCACUCUAUACUAUUCCUGAAAUAAAUGCUUGUCCCGGCCGUCAGGUGGUAGUUAAAUGUGCUGCCAAUGAUGUUUUCAUACUCACAUGCAUUGUUUUGGCCUUGUGGAAAGCAUAUUUGGAUUGAUUUUCUUUUGUCAUCCACAUGUAUACUGAAAAACAAAAAUGUUUUCUAAAGAUCCAACAGUCCAUUUUGAUUACUAAUUAUCUUAUAAUGGAUAGCCAAUAUCCCCUUAAUGUAACAUGUAAAAUUCACCCAAAUGGGAUUGAGAACGCUCACACUUUCCCUUAACUUUCCCAAUCUACUAGAGGACCAGGCCACUGCCCUCGUUGCCACUCUUUAGCCUCGUUGUCAUCUUCACCCCCCACACUCCGAUGUCACACCUAUGCUGAUGUUCUGGAGAUGGCCGUACAUCUCUACAGUCCGGGCGCAGAGAUGCACAAAAAAUCAUGCAAUGACAUCCCUAUAAACAUAGCCUUUCCAUGUCUUUGAUGCGAAAUGAAAAAAUAGUAAUAUGCUCAGGCCACAAGAUAUUUCAAUGAGAUUCGUGCAAUAUUCGGAGUUCAACAUGUAUAGGAUAGAUUGUGUAUCGAACCAGCACCCAUGUGUAUGCAUGUACAUGUUGGAUACCAAUAUGCAUGGCGAAUCGAUUAAUUUACUGGUUUGCAUGAAUGUAUAUCAGGAUUGACCUGUUAAUGCAAAUUCGUGUGAGAUUUUUUUGUCAAGCUGAUGCACCCUCUUCAAAUAUCUCAAUUUUACAGGAUUCCUGUGGUUGAUAUUAUGACCAUCGGAGGUAAAACUGCUAUCCUGUGAGCUUCCUCUCUGGGUAACCUCGUCCCUGGCAUAUGCUUCAACAAGUUUAUGUUGACACCUCAUCGUAAACCUCUUAUUCAUAGUGGUUGACUCACCACUUUCCGAGCUAGCAAAAUCAUAACUUGCACCAAAAUGUCUCCCCAUUUCCGAUUCAACGGAUUACAAACUGCCUGAAGCUUAUUCCAUUUUUUGGUCAUACGCGGGUUUAAAUUACCAUGUCCAUAUGAAACCUCCGAUCUCUUUUGACUCGCCAUGGUAUAACCUGUUUUAAUCCCUUUCUUUCUAAAUUCAUUCCUAUGGUUAACUAAUUGCAUAUUACUGCUCUUCUUUACAUUGCGAGUUUUUUUGUUCUAAAUAGACAAUUUCAACUACAACAGAUUAUUUAAUCAUACCAGAUACCUUAUGAAACGAGCAUGCGUCCUUAUGGGCAAGUUAUUAGCAAAUGGCAUUUUCUCCAUUUGAUCUAUUAGUAAACAUGCGAUUGUCAAAUGCAGUUCUGAAUCUUCAAAGAAGCAUGAAACGCUACAGCAGCAAAACAGAACACAUUCAGCAUAAACCAAGAAUGAUACAUACAAAGAAAAUCCUUUCGGAUAAUACUAUAUCCAUUAUUUUCGCUUAAGCACGACCUCUAACGAAUUAAACUCACGAGCUAGUAAGGAACGCAUGUACCAGAUCCAUGCCAAACCCAUUGCUUUCCGUAAAAUAAUAACUUAAUAAACAUAUGUAAGUAGUUGAAAUAUAGUUAGAUAAAAGUUUCUAGAAUAUACUUUCAGUUGCAGCUAGCAGCGAUGCCAAAUCAAACAGUAAGUUGCAGUUGAAUAUGACAAUUUAUAGUUGUCGUUCCUUUUUUAAGGCCAUGAUUUUUUGUUGUACUGUAGUGGUACAUGGAGUGACACCUGGUGUUUCGACAUUUCUGCAUUAAAAAUGUGCUCCCAACUGCCUUUUUUUGACUUACCAUCUCAAAUUCACUCUACAUAUAGAUCUCUUGGCUCAAAAGUCAUUGUCUUCAUGUGCCCUGCCUCUGCUGUUACUUACUCCUCUCUUGUGCCCUGCCUCUGCUUUUGCUCGUGUGUUUUGUUCUUAAAACUUGUUCGGUUAGCUUGUCCUCCACAAAUUAAGAUAGUCAUCUCAUAAUCCGGCAUGUUUUUUUUUUCACAUCAAGUUUGGAUGCACCAGGUAGCCAGGCAUGCGUCCACAGUCCAGUGUCUCGAAAUGGACGGCAUCAGGAAACCACCGGCAAGUCUAUUACUGAACGGCCAUUGAUUUAGGUUGAAUGUAUCCUGCAGAAGAGCGAUGGUAAAGGUCAAGCGCCAUCUCCCACCCGUGUGGGUGGACCAUGCAGUUCGUCUUGUCGUCUUUUACUCGUAGGCGGUACCUGCAUCACGCUCAAUCAUUGAGAGGAUAUGUGGAAAGAUGAUCACAACACUGAUGUCUAGGUCAUUAACUAGCAAUGCAACAUACUUCCUCCGUCCGGAAAUACUUAUUCUAUAAAUAGAUGAAUCUAGACUGAUUUUAGUUAUAAAUACAUUCAUUACAUUCAUUUUUAGGAUAAGUAUUUUCGAACAGAGGGAGUAGAAUACAGUAGUAGACACUUGUGGCCAAUUUCUACGGACUGUGCUUACGGACGCCAUCAAGGUCUCACCUCUCACGUGGUUAGCGGAGAUUGAAACGGCUGGUCAUCGUAUUCCUCCAUAAAGCGGCGAUUUGACGCCACGUCUGUCCGUAGACUCCUUGAGUAGCAAAUCAUCCGUAAGAAGAGCAUUAUUGUAAUAGGACUGACUAAGACAUCAGUCACUCAAGAUACGGGACACUAAUCACAAGAGAAACGCUCGUUGCUAGUCACCUGGGAGCUCGUAUAAGGUUUG